Long non-coding RNA from Rattus norvegicus (Norway rat), 708 nucleotides. RefSeq lists it as uncharacterized. The record is from RefSeq and is a predicted model, not a curated record. NCBI's taxonomy places the organism in Eukaryota, Metazoa, Chordata, Mammalia, Rodentia, Muridae.
AGUUCGAAUGUAACCGAAGCAACCGUGGGACAGCCUAAUGGAUGACUGUGGUGAGCUUUAGGCCACUUCGGGGGCAACAUCAAGCAGAGGAAGUACCUGGAAUAUUGAGCAGUACCUGUGUGCGUAUGGUGACCACUUGCCUUCAUUAGAGAUUUCUGGUCUUGCCAGCACUGCAGUACGCUGAAGUUGCUUUGUCUAAAGCAGUCAAGGAACCAGAUCUUACUACACACUUCAAACAGAGGUGGAAUUUAGGUCCUGUGUGUCACCAGAGGAGACCCAGAGACCUGGGGUUUACACAGAGGAGACAUUUAGGCCAAUUCUAAGUGACAGAUUUGCUUUCUGUAAGAUAUGACUGACAGGCAAAUGGAAUCGAGUCUCGAAUGAGAAAUUUGAGCUCCCUGGAGAUACAGUUCUGGUCCUCAGCCUAAUGCGAUAUUGGAGUCAUGUCAGCAACUGUAUGCAAGGAGUACACCUCCAUUACAGAAAGGAUGCUUCAGCCACCCACAUGCAAACCCCGCCAUUCCCAUUCCUGGCGGACAACGUGCAAUAUUUGAAAAUAUUACAGAACACUCUUGUGAUAAAAUGUCAGCUAACUCCAAAUCAAUAUUCAAAAAACAUUUAUCACUACCCUUGUAUGAAUACAAAAUGAGGUAGAAAAGGAGUCUGUGGUUAUACCUUUAUCACUAUUAAAACUAUCGUGUGUUCUUU